UGUUAAAAUAUAGCAAGCAGUAGCCAAAAAUAUUGAGCUAGUAUGAUUUCUGUCUCUGUCCAGCAAUGACAAUCUGUCCACCUCCACAGUGAAAUUCUGUAUAUUUUUAACAACUUUGCAGCUGCUGCAAUCUCUUGGUUGUUGUUUAAAUUUGCUGAUAAAGCUAUUUGAGGAGGAGGGACAGUGGUAGACUCCUGAGGAGUCUGAAGAGAAAGGCACAGGCCUCUCCCUCCUUUCACCCAUGCACUCAAUGACUUGGAUUUCUUUGUAACUUAAGCCGGUGGGACACAACCAUGUGUCUUGGUCUUGGGGCUCACACUGGUUGCUUUUUUUUUUUUUUUUUUUUUUUUUUUAAACCCUCUCUGCCCAAGAAAAUUCUGAAUUGGUUUACUAAACUGUCCUGACUCUUGUGCUGAAGUCUGAGUUUGUAAGCCCACAUCUUUGAAAAGGGGUGUCUUUAAAGAACCUUCUCCACAGUUUCCACAUCAGCUAUUCAAAGAGGAAGGAGUAUCAACAGAGUGCCAUGUCAGUCAUAUCAAAACAAAGAGAAGCAAAAGAGGGCCCCACGCCAACCAGUUGCUUUUGCAGUUGGUUCAACAACUGGAUGUUAAAUAGAAAGUGAAGUUAAAAAUGGUUGUCAGACUGGAUGAUCAAGAUGGGCCCUUCGAGUCCUGAAGCCUAUGGAGCUCUGAUCUAAAAUGACAUGAUCACACACCACUUUCCCCUCAGCGAUGCUGACUUCAGUGCACCAGGUAGAUCUGUACUGUGGCUGAAUUAGUUUGCUCUCUUUUGGAUAACUGUUCCAUUUGUUGGAGAAUUUGAGUUAUAUAUAGAGUGGGAAUGUUAAGCACUCCUUCCCCACCCUGUCCCCUCCCCCCCAAAAAAAGAAAAAAAGAAUCACUCUGGAGAAUUGUGUUCUAUCCUUGACUCUGCUACAUACUUUUUGCUUAAAAUAAAUUUGGGUGUCCACAUGUGAUUAUUCAUUUCUGAAGAUGUAAGUAGUUUAAAAAUUCAUUUAAAAGCAAAAAUAUGUGUUUUGUACACAAAUGAUGGCACAUAUUGAUAAAUUCUUUGUACAUUUUUAAAAGACUCUUUAUCCAAAUUUGCACAGAAUUUUGAAUUCAUGCAUCUGGGGAUAAGAGUACCAGCUCACUACAGUGGUACAAAGAUUGGUAAAGAGCUACAAAAACCAUACAAAUAAAAGAACUACACAAGAAAGUAAGUAAUUGUGUUUUCAGAACAGAGACCAACUGAUGUGCAGUAAAUAAGACAGUACUACACAUUCUUUCAUGAAGACAAAGCAAAAUAGGAAAUAGCUGUUCAUAACUCAACUGCAUUAGAUGAAAAAUCCUCCUAUAGAAAGUAAAUUAAGUAUAUAAGAACAGUUAAAAGCAUAUGAAAAUGGUCUUAUUGAUUUCCAUAUCUAUUCUAUUAAUGUACAAAUCCAGAUAAUGUCUUGUUUUCAGCUCAUUUAAAAUGUUACCUGAGUGCAGAUGAAUUAUAGCAGAUGGACAUCUCCACUGAUCAUUCAAAUGCCAGAGAGCUCUCUACACUCUGCUUUAAAAUCCAUACUAGCUAAUUAUAACCAGAAUAAAUCAAAAAGAAUGUCUACUGCACAAAGUAACUUGAAGCACUUUAGUAUCAAGAUGAUUUUUUUGUCUGAAAAUCAUCUCUCUUGAUUUAUCAUCUGAAGAAUGCUUAUCAAAAGGCCUGUUAGAAAACAUACCUAUAAUUUUAGUUAUAGAGCUUCUCUCUCACUCUGAGCAUUUCCCUUGAUAGCUGAACAGUGUUUUUGAAACACUGUAGUGUUAUGUCAGACCCCUUGCCUCACAUAAAUAUGAAGCAAUCCAAAGGAAAUGACUGCGGUCAUAUAGCACAUGGUCCCACAUUGAGAUCCUGAAUCAGACAUAUUACUUUUAAUACUUUUGAAUCAGAUAUGUUACAAAUAAAUAAGUGGGAAAACUACAUCCUGUAGAAUAAACUCUUAAAAUGGAAGAGUUGGGGAUACCUGCGGGGUAGUUUAGCCUUUUAGACUUUUAAACCUGCUUUGUAGAGAGAAUCUCUUUUGACUAUAAAUUCAGGUCAUGGUGUUAUCAAAGGUGGUAGAAGACUAGACAGAAGCAUCCUGUAAUCUCUUCAGAAAAUAUUUGAAAAAGGCUUACAUAUACCCCCAGCAGAAAUAUAUUUUCCUGUCCCUCUAUCAGAUUUAUGUAUUCUAGAACAAACAUUAAAGGAUUGUUCUUUGGGGACGACAGUCACUUGUAUCAGUGGCUUAACAGUCAUUGUAAUAAAGGAAUAAAAUGUUUUGUUCAGCUGGCAGGCCUAUAUUCUCUGUGAUAAAUGUGGGAUCUUCUGCAGUGGUGGGAAGGAUUUGAUUCUUACACUGAAAGAAUGCUGCUGAAAAUCCAUAGCUGUGUUUUUUUUACACUGCAGGAGUCACCAAACAAGGAUUUUGGAAGAUGCAUAUGAUUUACCAGUCUACUAUGCUAACAUCAUUUUGACAGGUGUGAUGCAUCAACACAGUAUUAUAAGCUUAAGAUAAAUUACAGCAUUCUUUUUCAUCAAGCAGCAAACUGCAGUGGAGUAUUGCACAAAGCUCAGUGUGUUCAGUCAGUAGGCAUUUGUGCCUGCAGCCUAAAAUAGAAUGUCUUUCUGUGAUGGGUUAAUCCCUCUUUGGCUCUGAUCCUGGGUAGAUUACUAGUUAUAGCAUGCCAUGAAAGACUGCUGUGUAAGGCAAGUAUUUCACUUAAGUCACUUACCACAUUCUCUGGACAACAGAAAUUUCUUGUGCAUCUGCUAGAAAUGUGGGGAUAAUUUAAUUGCCUUUGCUAAGAUUUCCAAUGUAAUUUAAUAAUCAUUUUUAUUAGAAUGUGCAUAUUGUUAGAAGUUAUCAGAACACUGUUACUCCUGGUGCAUUCUGAACAGCAGGUAGAAAAAUCAGACUUUGAUUUUGACUAGGGGUCCUAAUCAUUUCUUUUCAUAAUUUAGAGCACAAAAUGUGUUUGGUCAUUCUCUAUCACUUAUUAUUAUUAUUAUUAUUAUUAUUUUUAAUUCUGGUUGUCUAAACUGUAUGACAAGACCGCAUUCUACUUUACAUUUACCCAAAGGUCAAUAAAUAUCAGAACUUGGCAAAGAAACAAUGAAUAUUCUUCAAACAUUUCCCUGCAAGAAAAAUAGGCUCAUUUCAGCUGAGUGGAUGUCUCUAUUUGAAGGAUAUUUUUCACUGACAUUCAAUUAAUUGAAUUUUCCUGAAGUGGAUGUAUGUAGAAGCUAAGUGAUAAAUUUUAGGAAGUGUACACUUUUAUUUCCCUUAGUUUUAGUGCCAAGUAGGGCUGCAUUUAUAGUGCUUCAUUUUUAAGAUGGUCUAUACAGUGAUUUUUAUCAAAUGGUCCUAUUUGAAAUGUUCUAGCUUGGUAUCCAAAUCAUUAUCUUCAUUUGCAAGUCAGCAAAAUUCUGUGGAUUACAAACACUUAAGCUUUCAGAGCUUGACAUGUGGUCAGAGAAUGGAAAUGGCACUGUGCAAUGGCCAUAACUAGCCAAAUCUCCCAGAUAUUUUGUGGGAGCUUUAUGUAUGAAGAAAUGUUGAGAUGUUAGAAAAAUAGGACAUUAACCAAGAGUAAUGAAAAUGUCAGCAAAAAGUACUGAGUUAAAAUUAAUAAAGAUAGUUCUUGAAGAAAUUAAUUUGUAAACAUUUGUGAAGGGAAAGGAGAAAAGCUUGUGAGAGAAACUAAUACUUGAAAUAAAUAUGGGUAACUAUAAGGAGCAGGAAUUGUUUUUAUUUUUUUUUAUUCUAAUAUCAUUGCUAUAUUUUGUCUUUUUUUCCAUUCUAUUUCUAUUUAGAUUUUAGCUCAAAAUGGAGAUGGACUGAUCUAAAAUAUUCGUCAAAAAUGCUUAAACACGUUGAGAACCCAAAUAUACUUUUAAAUAUGGUCAAUGUGUGUCUUUUGUACAUAGAUCUGUGUUCAUAGUACUAGAAAACUGUUGAGGCCAAAUAGUAGAGAGCUUGGACCCUGACGGUAUGCAGUCUUGUUUACACAGAUUAGACUGAAUAGAAAGUCUAUGGCUGGCUGUGAAGACUGCAAGAUUUUCAGGCUGAACAGGCUCAUAUGGAAGCAGCUGAGGCUUUGUAUGAAAGUGGGAGAUACUCUGCAUGGGUGAUUAACUGUAGUGCAGUGAUCACUUUUCAGGCCAGCCUCGACUCCAUUUUAGACAUCAAAAAAAGGUUUAUAAAGCAAAGUAGUCUUCAAAAUUUUCUGUUAACAAUCAUUCUGAGGAAGAGAUUAAAAAAUGUCAAUGAAAUCAGAAAGUCAAGAGGUUUAUUUGGCAUAAUGGCUGAACAGGGAAGUUCUGUUUUUCAAGGAGGAUCAGGGAGUUCAAUGGUAGGUACAAGGCCACAGUACUAAAUGCUGACAUGGACUUUCCAAGGUUGCCCAGAGUAGUGCUAAAGUCAAUAAUUCCAUAUUGCACCUGUCAGAAGCUACAACAUAAUUGCUUUGAAGUGAGGCAUAUUAACAUCCAUGUGCUCAGCAAACUAAGCAAUUAUGAACAGGUCUCUGCUCUCCCUGUUGGCUGUUAUAAGUAUUUGUUCAAUUUGUUGCUUUGCCUCAAUUCUAGUUAAUGUGACUUAUGAGCACUUAGCACAUACUGGAAAGACAAGGGAGAGAUGUGGCUGCUGGUAGUCUGGCAGUAGUCCACAAACUGUGACCUUAUAGUGACAGGCAAAGAUGGGGCUGAUAGUCAGGAAGGAGUACAGGAUUGUAGGGCAGGAUGCUGCCAGUUGGCAUGGAAACACUAACAGUCAAAGCAUUAAGAUUUUAAAGAAACCAAACUUUUCUUUUCUUUUUUUUUUCCUAGAACAUGAUAGCAAAUGUUUUUGUAACAGUUGCAGAGACUGCUGAUUUUGCCUUUACAAGAUCAAACACACAGUACUACAGGAAUUUGAAAAAAAACAUAUAUCUCUCAAUAUAUUACAUGGGAAAUGAGGAAAAUUGUGUUCUUAUGAAAUUUGUUAUCACUGAGUUCGCCCAAUAUUAUGCAGGUGAUUACUUGAAUUUUCCAAGCAGCAGAUGUUCAGAAAUGGGGAGACAGAAGCUGGCCAAGAAAGCUGCCUCAGCAGCAGUGUGGGUUAUAAAUUCAGCAUGGACAAUCUGUUCUUCAAAGUAGAGCUAAAGUGAUUUAAAAGGUUCGUCAAGGUCACGUAGGAAUACUGUACAGGAGUGCUCCAAAGCACCAGCUGUCAGGACUGUCAAGUCUUGCUAAUGAACAGUGGAAUUUGUAGAAAAUAAUACUAAUGCUAAUUGAAACCUGAACAGCUUAGAAGUCUAGCAGGUUAUUGCUAUUGAUUCAUAUCCUAUGAUAAUGUCUCCUACAGAGCAUGCAGGAGUGCCUGUCUACCUGUAGUAUUAGCUAAUCCAUUGUUGAUGCCAUUCAUACAAGUAUCUGGAAGGUCUGAAGCCCUCUUCAGAGAGAGGGGUGUUCUAUUACUAUAGAAAUGAUGGAUCACUUUCUGAUUUUGUAAUAAAUUCUGAGCAGUAUCUUCACCUCAGAAAAGGAGAGGAAAGUGCCAAGAUAGCUUACAGUUCAUUAGGAUUUUUUCCAAGGGCUGGAGUGGGUCUGAAUAAUCUCAGUUAUAAUUUAAUUAAUCUAAUUAUCUUAGUUUCUGUUUUGGGGAAAGAGGUGGAGGCCUUUUUUAUAAAAAGGAUUAAUAAGGAACCAUUAAUAAGGAACCUAGCAGCAGUUGUGUCUUAGGUAUAUGUGCCAAGUCUGACCCUAGAGUUGAAAGAGAGAUAUGUAAAUUCUGGACCUUAAAAUGCUAAAUUGCCCUUAAAUUGCCAAUUAUGAUCACGUGUGUCUGCAUAGGAGAACAAAUCAGAACUCACCCUAGCUCUGGUCUCAUGGUCCAACUGCAGGCACACAGCACUGAGUUUAAUCAAACAAGCCUCACUUCUUCAUUCAGGAAUCUCUGAAGCUCCAUGGUAUGUAUUCCCUAUGUUCUUCUUUAAAUUCGGUUCCAUUUUAAAAUGAGAACUUACAUGGCACUAAGAAUAAUACCGAUAUCUAAGUAGACUGUCUCUCAAGGGUUACAUGACACAUGUAACAAGUAUGUUCAAUUUCAAUGCAGUUUGUAGACUUCGUUAAAGACAGCAACAUUAUCCCACAAACAGCAUCCAAAACAUUCAAAAAAAUUUUAUAGACCAACAGUGAGGGCCUUGAUAAUGAAGAAAUUUGGUCAGUUUUUUCUCUACAUUGACUUAUGAAAUUUCUUUAAUUGAGUUUUAUGACAUUCAUCUCAGAAAUUUAGUAAAUAAAAAUCACAGGUUGCAAAUGGUAUUUGUGUAGAUAUGUAAAAGAUCUACAGGAAGACCCUUUGAAUUUUGGGAAUGUGAGCCUAUUUCUACUACUCAAGUGGUACAGAUCCUGAGUGUCACUUAUUAAGUUAUUACUGCAAAACCACAGACUUCUCAUGUCACCAGUUGGACCUCCCUUUGCUUCUUGUCACUGCUUUUACUGUGCUGCCAGAACAAAUACAUUCAUUGAGUGGUAAGUUAUAAUUUUCCAGAUUUAUGCAGUGUUGGAAUAUUCCCCAUGGUAUCUUUCUGUGCACAUUUUGCAAUUCAGCUGCUUAAGGAAAAUUCUGGGAUUUGAAUUGCAAUUAUUUUUAAGUAACAAGUAAUUUAGUAUAAAAAUGGUCUGGUGAGUGUCACAGUUGUCUUUAUGGUCUUAAGUUUCAACUUCACACUGUGAAGACAGUAAGGUUUGUUCGUCAGCCAGAUCUUGAAGCUGAGAAUAGAGUUAAUUAACUGAGAUUGGCAGUAUAUGCUUUCCCUAUGUCAGGACAAAACUUUACCGGUGUUUUGAAAACAACCUUCCAGUUGUUUUUAUAUUAUUCUGACACUUUCUGGGAGUAUUUUUCAUAAACUGUUUUUACAAAUCACUGACAAAUAGGAUCGUAGAAUCAUAGAACAGUUUGGGUUGGAAGGAACUUUAAAGACCAUGGAGCUCCAACCGCCUGCUGUGGGCAGGGCUGCCAAUCAUCAGAUCAGACUGCCUGGGGUCCCAUCCAACCUGGCCUCAAAUAACUCCACAUAUGCCUAAUACUGAACAAAAUGAAUAUAAAUAGUUCAAGAUUCAAGGAACUUAGGAUAUAUAUAGGCACCUAUAUAAUGCAGUUCAGUGCACAUUGAAUGUUGCAAGUAUGAUCAGUGUAAGACCUUGUCUUUCCAUUUUCACAUUCAUAUUUUCAGGUUAGCACGAAGAAAGUUACUGUUCUUCAAUACAAAUGAGAUGAUCAAAAUUAUAUUUAUCUAUCUGAAAGAUUUUGAAGAUUUAAUACCUCUGUUAGUCCAUCUGCAGAGCCAACAGAAAUCCCAAGGUGGCCAUCUGGACAGAUUUCACUUCUAACAUUCAGCCACCAUUACUGUCUCUUCUCUUAGAAAUAUGUAAUUUGUGGGAAGCAGACAGAAGCAGUGUUAAGACAGCUGCCUGAAGUCUAGCUUUCUGGUCAGGUAAGUGUGUUGCAGAAACUAGAGAUCCGCAUGGCCGAGGAAACUGUAUGGAGUGGUUAAAAAUAGCUGAUGCACUGAACUAGUCAGUUUUCAUAUUGGGCUCAUAUAGGGCAGAGACUGUUAAUGAUUGUUGAAGCGUGUAUUUAUAGGAAGUUGACCAUGUGGAAACCUGGCCCAAAUCACCUCAGUCCCCAGUAUAUACAUAGAAAUUACCUAGAACCUUGUAAAUAAGGAAUACUCAUAAAUGUUUUUCUUCUUUUAAAAAUGACUUAAUGGUUACAGUUUUCCAUUCAGAAUACCUUUAGCUGUUUAAUGAAGCAUCAUGUACAGUAUGAACUACAUAAUAAUUAUAGGUUUUGGAGCUGUUUGUAAGUGAUAGCUUACAAUAAAAAAUGUCUGACUUAAGAAAACAGUCUUGCUCACAGAAUAGUAAUUUUAGCAUAAAAGUUUAUGAUUUUUUAUAGCUUUAUAACAUUUGAUGAUGCUAUAAAGCCCUCACAGUCUUUACUGUUUAAAAUGAUUUGAUAGCACACAUACGUUGUGUGAAUGCUGCAUUCUUCAUCAAAUUUUAUUUUUGCUUCCCGUUCUGUUAAAAAAUAAAAAUGUAGCAUGCAAAUACAGAGAUGAUUAUUUCCUACUUCAGUGUUUUAAACAUUUGACGUAGAGUGGAUGGUUAAAAAAUGAAAAAAUGUUUGUAGUUCUUAAAUGGAAAAAAAUUAGAAAAAUGUAAGAUAAAUAGAAUGAGCAAUAUUCUGUGAGUUUUUGUUUUUGUGCUUUUGUUGUUGCUGCUUUUUUUUUUUUUUUCCUAGAAGUGAAAUGAAUAUUGAUGAAAGAAAGGAAAAUAAAGGUAAGAAAAGUCUACCUGUCUACAUUUUGUUAUCUCAUGAUUGAAACAUUCUGACCACAGCUAACAAAAAUCACUAAAAUAUAUCCUUAAUUUACAUUAACUGCUUAUCUCAUGCAGGCUUAGUUGGAAUUGGAGUACACUUAAGUUCUUUGUCAAAUGUGAAUGUGAUAACUCAUGUAAGUGCAAGUUUGAUCAGGAUUAAUCAGUGAAUGUUUAUGAGAGUGUUACUAGUAUACAAUCCUGUUUGUCAGCUGUGGUGAGAAUGCGUUUGUUUGCUCUAGUGUGUUCUAUAAAGCCAAUCUAUUUCAGUAAUAUAAUCUCAGUUUAACCUUCAAAAUAGUGAGCAUAAUUACUUGAUCUUUCAGGUAUCAAAAUCAUCCAAAAGAAAUCCUGUAAAGAUGCUGAAGCAAAAUCCUAAAUGAUGCCUAUAUGACUUCUUUUGCUGACUCUUUUGAAAAAAAUGUUUAAUGACUCAUUAGAUAGCACAGUGGCGGUUCUACCCUAUUUCUUGCAGAAAAAAAAACACUAAAAUGAUGGAAGAAGAGAAUUUAGAGGACAGUAUUCUGCACUCCACUUAAAGUCUAAUUUUUGGGAUCCUAUCCUGAUGUUUAGAAGGCACCCCUUUUGCCAUUAAAGCUAUUUAGGCACAACUGUUUAGACAAAUUUGACACUCUUACUUAUGAAAGAAGAUUAUAACAUUCUCUUCUGGUAUGCAGCUGCUACUAUGCAUAAUUUACUCAGCAUUUAUAGUCUCUUCAGAUUGUAAAGCUAUUGUGUGAAUGUAUUCUCUAGAAAAUAGCUAUUACUUUGAUAGUAAUAUCUUACUAAGGUAAGAAAAGAGUACUCAGUACUGAGAUCUAUUUUGCAGUGGCUGUAGAAAGUCACUCCAUUUUUCACAUGUAAAGCUCUGCUGCUUACAUUUGUCUAAAGCAUAUUUUUCAAGCUGGGCAUAAAAGCCUUAAUGACUUUCCACAGCCCCUUCAUGGUGAGAGAAAGUUCAGAAGUGAUAUUCAUCCAGCCUUGAAUGAGGAUGAAUGAGGAAGGGUUUUAAUGGAUAAACAGAUGUUCAGUCUUAUGUAGGAUUUUGUAUUUGAUCAUUCAAAGAAAUGGCAAGAAAUAUCAACUUGUCAGGCAAACCGUUUCCCACCAUGAGCAAAAUAUACUGGAACUAACCCCUGCAUCUGUUAUUUUCACUUGAGCAGAGGAGCCUCAGCAGCUUCAAUUCUAUUUAGAUUGUUUUGAAAACAGUUUACCUGAAUAAACAGUGAAAGUGCCACUUCUCAUUUACAACAUAUUGAAACUUGUCAAAAACCAUAAUUGGACAUGUGAACAGAAAAGAAAGAACUCAGAGCUCUGUAACACAACAGCAGUAAGAUACUUUACAGAAAUGUUGCAGAAAUAAAAUGGUGUGCCUAGUGCUUAAGAAUUUGCCACUUGAAUAAAUUGAUAAAGGAAUAGUUAUAAAAUUGAACAUUUCAGUAGGCCACAAAUAGGAGUAUCAACUUAAACAUUUUAAUGAAUAAUGAAUUACUAAUAAUUUAUUAAUGAUUCAAAGAUCAUAGCACAUCCAUUACAGGGCAAGUGUAAGGUAUUACUUUAAAUAAUAUGUGAGUGAGCAAAUAUAGAGUAUAUUAGAUACUUUUCAUUGAGAUUCAUAUUUGGAUUUCUAGAUAUUGAUUGUAUUUCACUGAUAUACACUGUCUUAAAAUUAUAGAUGAGUAAACAAGGUAAUAUUUUCAAAAAUAGUGGCCACAUAUAAGCUUCCAUAUCUGUAGUUACUUUCCUAAAAAAGAAAUGUGUUUUGAGUUUAGGUUUUGUUUUAUACUAAAGUAAAAUUCCCAAAAUGGUCUACCUUGUAUUGAAGUACAAUAACCUAAGGAGUAUAUUAAUGACUUGCAACAAUUUUAAUUUCCACGUCAUUCUGAAAAGAUUUUUUUUUUAAUGGAUAAAAUAUUUUAGAACUUUAACCUAGAGAUGAAAUAGUUUGAAAAUAUCAUCCUAGGUGUAUUUUUUUUCAAGACUCCUAACAUCACAGUGUCAGUAACAGAAAGUAACUAUUAAAUAUUUUCAUGUUCCUUGCUGUAUCCAAAAAGUCACUUCAUGGAGGAUUAUUAUCUUUUCCAGAAUAACACAUACUCUAAUUAUCAUUAAUUGUAAAAUUCUUACCAUUUUUUUAGAACAAAAACAAGCUGUAAGUGACAUAUUGUCGACGGUUUACGGGCUGGUCCAGCCCGGUUCCAUGACUAGUGGGGCGGAGGGAUUUUUUUGCAAAAUCCGCGCCUCCAGAAAAGGGAAACAGGGGACCCCCCACAAAAAAGAAUAAUUAAAAAAAAACAGCAGCAAUGAUCUGAGGAGAAACAAACUAAUUUACUAAAUAUAGUAUCGGAAUGCACGAUAAUACACUAUAAUACAAUAUAAUUCUAUAUAAUUGUUAAUAAAAUCAAAUAUAAUUGAGAGAAGGAUUGUCUGAGAGCUAAAGGCCUUACACUAAUACUGAAGCCUUGCGUGCAGUCAGGAGCAGCAGUGAGAUGGUCCGAAAGCAAGCACGAUGAGAGGAGAAGGCAGAGGACUCAGGUCAGGUGACCUACAGGCCUUAUAUCUGUUCCCCUGAGCAGGAAUGAUAACAGUACUCGAACAGUCUUCUGGGGAACGUGGUGGUUCUUCUCUUCCGGAUGAGUACCCGGAACUAGAGCAUUUGCUUUUUAACUCCCAGUUAAACAUCACUGCAUGAUGUUAUGAUGUGGAAUACCAAUAACCAAAAAUCAUAAAACCAUGACACAUAUACAAACAACUGUACAGAUCCUGUCAGUUCAUGGUCUAAAAGUCAUUAAUGGUUAGAAGACAGCAUAGAAUAAUAUAGAAUUCAGUAGUACAGUCACUGUAACUGAAGUGCCCCAAACCCGAAGUAUCUAGAUAAACAAACAAAGAAACAAACAUCAAAGAUGGAAUUAGGUUGAUUAUUACAUCAAGAACAUUGUCCCCACAUCCCAUUUAAGAAGGAAAAAGAAAAGAAAAUGAGCCAAUCCCUUCUAUUACUGAACUUUAUCAGCUCUUCAUUUAAUGAACAUAUGUACUACACGUUUGGCCUGAAUUAGGUUACAGUCAUUACUUAUACUGUAGGAGAAAAAAAAUCUGUCAGCAUCAUUAACAAAAUUUUGUCUUUAGACUGUGAAUUAUUCAGUGUUUUGUUGCUUGACUUUGCUUUUCUGCCUGUUUGCAUGUCUGAAACUGUGUGUUGAGCUUAGGAUGGUUAUUUCAGCCAAAGCAAUCUUGCCAGGCUCCCUAUUGAGCAAGACUGUUAGGCAAGACAGCUGCAUGAUGUUUGGUUUAAUUUGUUGACACUAAAAAUCCAUGAGUUCAGCUCUAAUGGAAGACAGAUCAUGCAAUGCCCUAGUGAAGUACUCGGAGCAUACUUAGCAUAGCAGAUUUUGACCAGGGAAGAGUGCACACAUUCUAAAUUGACAGAAAAUCAGAGAGCCUUAGUAGUUCCUACAGCUAAUGGAAAUUUGAAUUAUGCUUUGCCAAUGAAGUCUGGGAAAAAAAUUAACAGAAAGAAGAAAAGAGUAGGAAUACAAUGGAGGGAGUAGAGCAGAAAAGAAUACAAAUGUAAAAAUUGUUCUUUGUGAUCUAACUGAAAGUUAUGCUUAAAUUUUAUGGUUACAUUUAAUUAAACAGAUUUUUUUUCAGUAAGUUGCACAUCCAGAAAAAGAGUUUCUAAUGACUAUCCGCCCAAAAGGCAUUGAACCAUGUUCAAAUUUACUUUUGUGCUCCUAGCAGCAAUAGAAGCAACAAAGAAAUGAUAACAGUACUUACUACAUAUGCAUAUAACAUUCCUGUCAGCAUUUUCUUACUUAGAAAAGCCUAAAAAAAGUUUGUGGUUACUGAAAAAUUUCAUUGUGAAAUUCUUGAUGAUCAUCUCUUCUUUCAAUUCAAGAAUGAACUUCUCUAUCUCUGUGAAAAGAUUUAUUUCUGACAGGAAAAAAAAAAGAUGUUGCCAUUUUUUGUUUGUUACUUAAUAUGUUACGUGAAAAUAUAGAACAACAUCCCAGAUAAAAUCCCUCCUACCACAGAAUUUGGCUUAUGUUUAUUGAAACUUAAGUACAUACUAACAAGCAAUAAUUUUAUGUUAAUUCUGAGGACUUUUUGGAGCACAUCUGUCCUGUAGAAAAAGUGAUAUGUAUUACAAGCCCUAAGCAGGUGGAUGCAGCAAACAAGCUGCGGGUCAGAGAAAGAAAUUAGUAUCAAAAAUACUAGAAAUGUGAAUUCCCAGGCAAGUGAAACCGUGGCUUUCUGUAUGGAGUUUAUUGCUUUCUGGGUGUCUUAUAGCAGAAAGGAACCUGAGGAUGAGAUAAGGGGAGGAAAAAAUUGAACUUUUACAGAGUGCACUUAAAAUGUGCGUGCUAGAUUGUAGACACAUGAUAAGAAUGAGAAUAUCAGUCUAUUAUUUCAGUACUUCUGUGGUUAAAGUUGUCUUAAAUAUGUUGCAUAAAGAUGUUAUUUUUUUAAUGUAUAAUUUUCAUUAGGUUUUUGAAGAUUCAUGGAAAAAGAAUGCAUUUCCCAGAAUCAUCAGUCUCCAGGGUGACUGUACUCUUACAGCCAUGCUUGUGAAGAGAGGAGGUCCUUAAGCACUGCCCACCUCCUGUCUGUGCUUUGACAGCUGCCCUAAUGCAAUCAGGAGCCAGCAGGUAGGACAGAGCUGAAGCUCUCUGCCUGGGUACCAACUAAACAUGGAAGCUCAGAGGCCAGGGUGUACCAGAGAGAAAGCUGCCUCAGAAGAAAAGGGGUUAGUCUAGUUCUGAAUAGCUUGGACAUUAAGAGACUGGAGAAAGCAUGGUUCAAGAGUGGGAGUGAAAUUCCAUUGUCAGCAUUCAUGAAAAACUACUAGUGCUUCUAAUAGUUUUCUUGGGAAAUCAAAGCACCUGAAUUGCAUGUGUACCUGGCUUCUGUGGUUGGAAUACUGGAUGAAUGCCCUUGAAAACCCUGCCUGGUUCAUUAGUUAACUGGGAGAUGCCCAGAGGUUAUAUGUAGAACAUCACUGCAACUUUUGAACAUAGGAUCUGAAGGAAACCAGUUUCAGUGGAGGCCAUUAAAAUUAACUGGAAUUCAGUUUAGCGAGUACAUUGCUACUGCACAAAAGCAGUAUCUACAGCUUCAGCGAUAAAUCAUAGCAACCUCUAUAAAUGGUAUACCACAGAAAAUCACAAUUAAACAAAAUAAUGUUUUCCUCCUUUUACUCUAUUUCUCUAACAGCUGUAACAGCUGAAGUAUCAUGCCAGAGACAUUAAUAUGCCUGGCCCCUGAGUAAUUCUAGAUGUAGGCUAGAUUUACCUGGAUUACAGUUGUAUAUUUCAGAAGGUGAAGAAAAGAGAUGCAGCACUUGAGAUUUAAUUUUGACAGGAAAAAAGGCAGACACAAAGUUGAAGCAUCAUCUAAAUGGUUAAUUUGGAUACUUAGAGACUUCUAGCUGCUGUGGUGUGUGAACACCUGGGAAGAAAAGACUCCAGCAGGUAAACAGCUAUACUUUCCUACUACUGGUUUUGUCCUUGCACUGAUUUUUGUAGAUAUUGGUGACGAAUAGUUAAAUAAAUAAAUAAAUAAAUAAAUAAAAUCCCCUGUCCUUAGAUAACUCAAAAUCAACAUUUUGAAUUAAAUGAAGAACAGAAAAUAUUGAUUCUUAGCAAAACAAAUAGAGCAGGUGAACAAAAUCUGUGUUUUGAGAAUGAAUGUUUUAGCAAAGCCAGCAUUUGCAAAUUGGAAAAUAUCAAUAUUGCUCUCUGUCACUACAGCCAUGCAUCUCCCUGCACAGGAGUUAUUCUCAGUUAAUACCUCACAAAACUAAACAACUAAUGUAAGCUUAAAAUGAUAUUAAUUGUUCAGAAAACAAAGAAAAUUCUUCUCCAGAGGCACAAGAUUUCUCUUUACUAUACUUCCAUUUCUUGGAAAACAUCCAUAAAGGGCGCUGGACUUUUGCCUCAAUGAAUUUUGGUCAAUUCACUGUCCUUUCUGGUUCAAGGUUUGAGCUGAGAAUAUGUUUUCUAAUAUUCAAGGCCACAAUGUUAAAUUUGCAUUAGUAUUCCAGUGCUCACAUUUGGAAAGGCAGCAUUUGAGAUAGGACUUGCACAGUGCAGAGCUUAACUAGUUAGGAUUUAUAUCCUGAAUGUACUGAGAAGAAAAUAAAAAGCCAGUGUGUUUUGAUGAAGCACAAGUUCCUGUUGAACCUGUUGAAGGGUUCCUUCUGUUUUGUUUCACACAAGCACUGUUUAGGUAGCACAUGUGCCAGUUGGCCCAACAAUUUACCUCACAGGAGUCAGAAGUGCUAACAACUGAGAAAUGUUUUGCCAAAUCAAGAUGAAAUGUUGUCUUUUGUGUGUGUAACUAUGUCUUUAUGAAAUAAAUGACAGAAAUUCUGUCUAUCUCUAGAUCCACUGCAGAGGGAAUGUGUAAUGCAAUGAUCAUCAGGAACAGACUUAUCAGGGGUCAGAUCAAAGAUCCACAUGGCCGAGUAUCCUGUCUCUGAUCAGAUUCAAUGGCAAAUUCCUAAGGAAAAGCAAAACAGGUGGAAUUUGUUUGUCUGACUGCAGAAGUCCACAUUUCAGUCUGAACAUAUUGCUUGAGGUUCUUUCCACAGUGAAAGAAAUUGUCAGCAGAGCUGGUGGGAACUUGUCUUGGAGCAGAUGCUCAAAACAGGAGAGCAGUUUCUCCUGAGAAGUUCUUGUCUUUCUCCCUUGAAUGCAAAGAUAACCUGGAAAGAUUAGCUCAGCUGUAUAUUUUUAUAAUGUAGAUAUGGAGAAAUGAGAAGAAUUCCUCAGUGUUUAUCUCCUAUUUCUCCUGCUAAUUUACCCAUUUACCUUUUUUAUGCAGGUAAAUAAAUCCAUGAGGUAACUCAGUGUUAAUCCUAACUACCCAGUCUGAGAAGAACUGUCUUUUGUUAGUUCUAAAUUUGUAACCUGUUAGUUUCAUUUCUUGUUUCUUAAUAUUAUUUUGCUGAUAUGCUCACUAAAAGGAAAUCAACUGAUAGUAUGAAGGUUCUUAACGACAAGCUUACAUGGCAUAGACCUUUGUGAGCCUUACCUGCCUUUGCAGCAUAUAGGGUAUACAGAAGCAGAAUGUGCUGUGUCAUGAAGCAUCUGCUGAAGGACAACCAAAAAUUGGAUUGAAUGACUUGAGUAGCAACCAGAGUUCCCUCUAGUAUAAUCAUGUUGAUUUGACUGUUACGAUUGGAACACAAAAGAUAAUGAUGAUUUGUGUGAUGCUCAAAGCUGAUAAGAUUUUCCAUAAAAAUUUGGUGUUGUUUUUGAUCCCGAAAUAUCAGACAGAUAAAUAAGCAAAAUACGUUCACUGUACCGAUUUCUUACGCAGACAUUUAAAUUGUGAACAUUUUAAGAUUAAGAAAUGUAUUUUGUAAAGGAGCAAAAUUGAACUUGCCUGUCACUGAAGAGACAGAUAAUUCGUUGUGUGACAGGAAACACAGGGUUAUAUUUAGAAAAGGUUUAUUGUAUGGUCUUCAGUUGUAACUGCUUGAUGCAAAGGAAAUUUUGGAACUCUACUUUCCUUAGCUGUUUGAUGGAAAAGGUUCUUGAGAAUAUGUACUUUACCCACUGCCUAGUCACAGUCUUCCUCUGAACUCUAGGUUUCAAAUAAUCUCCUGGACCAUAGUUUGUAAUUAACUGGCUUUAAGUCACAGACUUUAACACGAGUAACUCUGCUCACUGAGCUGGAGUAACUUCAUAAAUAAACCUUGUACCCUGGGAAGUCCUCAUAACUCUCUCCAAAGUUCUCUUCCAUGCUAAUUAGCACAAAUGAGGCAAAAAAGGAUCUGCAACCAAUAAACAACUCUAGCUCCUUGUAGAAGAUGAUAAAGGUGCCAUUUCUUAUAAUACAGAUUAGAGAAGUCUUGAGCUGAAUUAUACAUUACAGACAUCCUACCCAUUAUGCAGUGUGUGUUGAAGGCUAUUAUCUUCAGUCCUUUGGGAACCGUGAGAUACGAGAGACAUAGAAGCUAAGAAGAAAGAAGAUGAAAAAAGAAAACUUUUUUUGCUGGAAGCAAAUUUUAGUUUAUUAUUCAGCUCAGUUCCACUGUUCCACUUUCAAAGUUUCACUAGAUGUUCCAGUUAAAUAGCAAAUGGUAGUUUGAAAAAGAAAGAUUCCUUUAAAGUAGAAUUUCUUCAGGGAGGACAGGUACAGUCUCCAGAAUUCUAACAUUAAAGCAACUGAAUUUGCCAAAAUAGGUUAGGCAACCUUUCCUUAGAUUUUCUUUUAUUUUUAUCUAUGAAACAAACUCUGCUUACCACUGCUUAUGGCUACUUAUGAUGACAAGUUUGACUUCUGUCUAAACCAGGGUGCUACUUAUUUUAUACUCAUAUUUUAAGAUGAUCUCAUUUAGGAACAUACUUCAAACCACUUUCUGAAAGCAACGGUGUGUACUCUUUUUUUUUUUUUUUUUUUCAUUCUUGAGCGUUCGAGGAGGUUAGCUUCAUUCCUUAGAAGCUUAAAGUUAAUGUAUUCAUUUUUUACCCUUCUUUCCAAGGGGCAUUCACGAUGUGUCAUUAACCAGCAGUGCUAUCUCUUUGUAAUGCAGGCUCUCAUAUGACUUGACCCAUACUUCUAGUAGUCUGCACCAUCAGCUCAAGUACAGUAAACACCUACUUGCUGAAAUCACACUCGGAUACCGGAAUCCCUUGUGACAAUACAUACUUUCAUGGUAUAAACAGCUGAAUAUUGUACAUGAGAAUUCCAGAUGGCUGAGAGAAACAGAAAUUAUGAUUUUCCUCUCAUAAGAAAUUAAGACUAUUUAAUUUUUGUAAAAAUACCCUAGAGGACUAUUAUGUGACUUGCAUUUUUUUUUUUUUCCUUCCCAGUCUCAGAAUAAGAAUUUGCAGAAUGCUACUUUGUCAGAUGGAAAGCAUGUAUUUUUCCCUCUUGGUGAAAAAAAAAAAUCAUAUUAUUGGUUGCAUGAAUAUGAUUUUAACUGGCUUUUCAUGACUAUAAUAUAUUUGAAAAGAAGACAUUGUGCACAUAAAUGAAAGCAAAGGUUUUGGUUAGAACAAAUCCAGUUCAUUCUCUCAAAUUUCUCCAACUAAGGCAAGGUUCUUCAUAACUUUAUAGGGAGGAAACUAUAAACAUUCUUUGAUGAAAAUGUUAUAAUCUUUGUAGAUCAUUUGUAAUUAUGCAUUAAACAAAACAAUGAAAGUGAAGUGUACCUAACAUUUACCACUGAACAACUUGCAUAAGGAUAACUUUUCCCACUUCAUACUCCAGUGAAAGAAUACCUUGAUAAAAUGGUUAACUGGAAACAGAUGUUAAGUGUUGGGAUAAAAUGCCUGUAGCAACUUUAAACAAAUUCAUAUCUAUCUCAGCUAAGCCUAUGCUUGACAGGUAAAGUACAAGGGGCCCCUAUCUUCUUUCUGUUGCUUACAGCAGCACAGGUAACAUACGUUUUCUGAUUAACUUUUAGUGUGGUAGAAGCUGCUGCAAGCCAAGAGCCAGCUAUAUUUAGUAGGCAAGGGACAAGGCAUCUGAGGGAAAAAGUCUAGCCAAAUAUAAUGAAUUGUUUGAAAGCUGAAGACGAAUACAUUUCCAUUUCUUAAGACCUGUGUUCUGAUCUUGAAUUUCUGUCACAAGAUUAAGGAUUAAGGACCGUCAGAAAAAGAAGUAAACCUGGCAACAUAGCCAUUGCCUCCCAUAGGCAAAUACAGGAUGAAAAUCAGAUCUCUUUUACUACAGGGAGUCUAGGAAAGCUUCUGCUUGACUAAAAAAAUGCCUUAUUUCCUCCUCCUCCUCCUCCCCCCCGUCCCCACCAUUCAGUUGAAAAAUAAAUAUUAAAGAAAAAUAAAUAUGAGUAAAUGCAUUCUAAAAGCAGAAUGGAGAAUUAUCUCAAUAAUGGAAAAGGAAUCCUGUCUUCUCUUCACCUGUACCCUAGAAAUUUAUGAAAGUUACUGGAGGUUAAUCAGAAACAAUCAUGAAAUCUGAAACAAGCUCCAUUUUUUUGUGAAAAAACAGAAGAAUAUUGUCAUGUAUUCAACCUCCUCAGUUCAAUUACAAUAAGCUUAUUCCUCAGUUAUGAUUAACAUCACUAAGGCUGUUAUCUCAAAGGGUCACAAUUCAAAUCUAUCCUAUACUUGUCUCUUACUGAUGCUACCAGAACUUUUGGAGCAUGGAUUUCAAAGCAGAACCUGAGUGGCAGACUAGGAAUCAAUGUAAUCUUUUACACUUAGAUGUUUGUAACACUGUUUUUCAUCUGUUGCAGUUUGAAACACAACUAAGACUUGCCUCCCUCUGGAAGGAAUCCAAAAUGGAGGUUCUUAUGGGAAGAACACAGUUGUUCUGUUUUUGUUGUUGUUGUUGUUGUUUGUUUGUUUGUUUGUUUUUCUUAUAAAUAUACUUCAUUAUUGUUGUUGUUUGUUUUGUUUUGUACCAUUUUGUUUCUUUUGUGUAGAUCACGUCAAAUAACAGUGGAGGCUGAAUUUAGUCAAAAGAGGAAGUGAUUCAAAUAUUUCUAGUUUGCAUCAUAGUUAUAACGGUCCUGAAACAAGACUGGAAGUUCAUUUAUUUUUAAGCUGCCACCUUUAAAACAGCCUCUGUGGCUAUACCGUGAUAUUCUGAGGCCAACAUUCAUUUGAGCAAAUGCUCCUAGCUGGCUGUUCUCUGUGAGAUCUCCAGGCUUAGGCAUUCAGUAUCUCUAUUCCAACAGUUGUGCAAAACAAUUAGAUUCAUUUGUCUUCAGAGCACAUGGCAAGCUUUUGUGAAAGAGGAGGCCUGUGGUUGUUGGACAUAAAGUUGAUGGGAUGGUUAGAAUUUGCUGACAGCUUGGAAGCUUUGUCUUUCUUUCUCUCACCACCUUGUGGAGGAAAAAUUGCUGUUGUUACUAAAUUCUCUUCAACUUGGUUAGGCUUUGUAGAGAUUCGUGAUUUUAGAAAUGUCUUUUAGACAGAGCAACAAACUGAAAAUACAUUUAUUUCUGGAAAUACUUAAGGUUUCAUUGUGAUAACAGUGGGUUGUAUUUGUGCUAUGUUUUACUCCCUGCAUUUCAAAUGUAACUAUCUGCAUAGACUGAGAACACUUGCUCUGCAUGUAAAACCAUCUAGUGUUGUUCUACCUAAAAUCAGGAGUUAUACCAAAAUCCAGGUGAUUUCUCAGCUGUUAUGGUUUCUUUGCUUAUUCUAAGUUAUUUUUUGUUUUUAUUUUUUUUCUUUUUCCUUUUUUCUCUGCAGCAGUAAGUAAAAUGUGUCUGAAUCUGUUGUAGGCUGACUUUUUAAAUGUUAGUUUCUGCUGAAGUCUUCUAAACACUAGAUGUUAUACUUCUUUAAAGGAAUUUCUUUUUUUUCCUGUGCCAGAGAUCCUGUCCCAAACUGACAUAGAAGUUGUUUUUAGCUCAGAUAUUUCCUAAAAAAAAAAACAACAAACAAAACCAAAAUAAAACAAAAAAAGAGAAUUAUACCUCAAUGAAAAUGUGAUGCAGAAAACUCUUAGAGCAUUUUGAACUGAUUGAAACCCAUCCAAAUAAGGCUAAAUAAUUCAGUUUUAGAUGAUAACACAGGCAUCAUGCAUCAUUGCCUUUCGUAUUAUCUUAGCAAAGCUACAACUAAGCUGUGUUCAUUCCUGUGUCUUAUCAGGAGUAUUGCACAAUACCCUAUAGUACACUUAAGGGCAAAGUUCCUUUGAUGCAGACUUUGUCACCUGUUAAAUACACCCAGAGUACACAUUAUCUAGGUAAACUUCUGACCUUUUGAAAUUAAAUUAUCUACUUCCAGUGAAUCAGAUUUAAAAUCAUUUUACAAAUUGGGAUAAGCUCAAUUUAUCCUAGUUUUUCAGAUUAAAUAUUAUUAAAAUCCUCCUUUGUCUGAGUCACUUUUCUGAAGCUUGCCUGUCAAUGCCCUUGAGAGAAUUAUAAACAUUUGUUGGGAUACUAGACAACACUGAAGAACUACUAUUUUCAAAAACAAGCAAGCAAACAAAACCAAACUCCCUCACCUGUCAUAGUUAUACGACAUAGUUAAAUUUCCAGAUUUAUUGCUUUAGCAUUUUUUUAAUGCCAUACAAUUUCUUUUUGUUACACCUACAAUUGGAUUAGUAUAGAAUAAAGCUCUCAUCCAGAAACGCUUUUUAACUGUCUGCCUCUUUGAAUGGAUUUAAUCGUUUUGUAUUUAAACUAACGAAUUAUGUAAAUGAUGUUGCUUAAUCUAAUUUAAAAUACCAUUUAAUUUUCAUAUACUUUUUUGUUUUUACAUUACUUUGACAGCACUGACAUCAGUCCUAUUUUUACACUAAUAUAAAAAUUAAUAUAGGAUUGCUCUUCACAUGCUUUUUUAGUCUACUUUCUAGUGCAAGUAUCUUAUUCUUUCAGGACCAGCAAAAUAAUAUUAAAGUUGUCUGUAAAAAUUUCUGAACAAAAUUGAAUCAACUAGACAAAGUCAAUUUAGAGAAGUAUAUAUUACAUGUGUGUAGGUGCACUAAUCUUUUCUCAUUAGUUUUAGAUUAAGCAUUUUCCUAUUAAAAGUAAAAUCCUGUUACCUAAGAGCACUGCACAUUUCUCCAAAAGGACAAUGUAAAUUGUUCAGAUUAUCUAAAAUAUAAAAUUGAUAGAAAACACAGAAAAGGCACAGAUGCUUUGGUUUUCUUUACUUUUUUUCAUUCCCUCUUUUUUUUUUCCCCCUGAAUUUGUUUGUGUGGAAUGCAUAUGGAAUUUGUUGUAUCAACAGCAAACAAUGUCUUUUUUUAAAAGGGUAUUUUACUGAUAUUACUUGACGUGUUUUUAAUUAUUCCAGAAAUCAAGAAGUACAAAUGAAACACAUCUGUAUGAUUGCUGUUUUCCCAGAGAAGAGCUGAAAUGCAGUAAGUAGCAUGGAAGGACUCUAUCAGUUACGGCUCUUUAAUGUAUACAAUGUAUUAAACGUAUAUAACGAUAAUGAAAUCUUCCUGUUCGCAGUUGGAUUUUACCUCUAAGGUUAGAUGGAAGGCCCAUAGCAGAGAUGAUACAUGUAUUCCUGUGUGGAUUUAUUUGUUAAAAGUAUGUUUAAAAUGUUUUAUAAUAAAAGUAAAAUCCACUGACGAAUAAUAUUAUUUGAUAUCUUUCAAUAUAAUUGCAAAAAUAAAAAGAUUCAAAUAUAUUAGAAAUUACACAUUAAAAUCAAAACCUACAAAAAUCUAAAUUGCUCUUUCUUAGCUAUUGUUUUCAAACUGUUGUUCUAAGUAAGGCCCAUGACAGGCCCAUGGCCACUUUUAGCUGUAAUGUAUGAUCUCGAAAAGCUUUUGAAAAGGUUUUACAGUACAACAUAAAUAUAGAAAUCCACCCUUUCUCAGUAAACUUAAGGUUAAAUAUACACAUAAAUUAAUGAUUAUAUUCAAGCUAACAACAUGUCAUUUGUUUUCAGUUAUGAAAUAUUCAAAGCUUUGUUAUGUUGGUGAACUCAGAGUGUCAAAGACAGACACACAUUGUUUGAAAAGCUUAAUCUGGAAAAAAAGAGAGUAAAGUUUGAAGAAGGAUAUGUGAGGACAUAUUUAACUACUGUAAGACUUCUUGCAUGCAUAGAUGUGCAUUUAUGUGUCACAUGCUCAUCAGAAUCUACCUACACACAUCAUAUUAACGUUGAUAUAUUAAGAAGUCUUCUUUAUUAGCGUCUUAAUUUCUCGAAUAACACUUUGGAAAAAAUACUUUACUCACAGGAUUUUUUUCCUUCUGCACUUUGGAAGAUCCUCAGAUCCUCACAGUUUACCUGAGAUGGAAAGAUUUAUGUUAUCUCAAAGUAAUGCCAGAAUGUACUCAUUCUAAUAAUUUCAGAACUAAUGAUCACAGACAGAUGACUAAAUCAACCUAGCAGCUCUUUUUCUGUGCUGAAGUCUUUCUGUAUUUACAGAUAAUAAAAGACUAGAAGUCUUAAUAACAUCUAGUAUAAUCAGCUUAAGAUUUUGAGUUUUAUAAUGGACACAUGAAACUGAUAAUUGUUUCCAGUAGGCACAUCUAUCUGGAGCUGGAAAGCUGUUUCAAAUUCACUUUUUCUAUAGAACAAGGGCUGCUCCAGAAGUAAUGCCUCCUGUUUUAUUAUGUUGGCCUACAAUGUCAGAAGCAGGUGUUCGUGGCACGGCAGCAGGAGCUGGACAUUCCCACCAAAAUUUCAUUAUAUUUUGUUGCUCUGUGACAGAUGAAAGAAGAGGGACAGUCUGAGAAAAUGGCAUUUGACAUAGAAGUAAAUAUGUGCAAUUGAAUUCCUCCAUGCAUAGAAAAAUUGUACCCAUUGACAUUCAUUGACACUUGCUGCAAGUUCGUAGAGACCAUACAGUGGGUGUGAGCACACUAAGGUGGAGGAUGGUGUGUUACAGCAGUGGCAACAGUGACGUGAAAGAUAAACCACGUCUUAUGAGAAAGGCAUGCAGGCACUUGUUCAUCAGUGUCAAAAAUGUGCAAUUAAUGGUUGCUACUACACUGAAAAUAAAUGUUUUGUGGCUGAGAAUAUUCUCUAUCAAAUAGUGCUAUUGUGCUGUUUGCAGGUGGUGAAUUUUUCAUGGAAAUAAAUAGGAGGCAUUACUUUCAGAGUGACCUAUGUAUGUUCUCCACUUUUUUUGAGAAGACCUAUUGAAGUUGGCAUAAUAAAAUAAUUUAUUCAGACAUUCAGUUUUCCUUAUAGUUCUGUCUUAGGCCCUUCCUUAUUGGACAGGCUACGUUUGACUUUUCAGAGGAGAUUAGGUCAAAGUCUCCAUCAGUUGCAGGGUCAGGAUUCUUUCCAUUUCCAACUCAAAAUCAGUCUUUUUUUUUUUUUUCUUGUAUCAUUGUACGGGAAAAUAAUAAAGAAUGUAUACUUUGUUUAGGUAUGUCUAUUACACAUUUGUGAGGUGGUCCCAUUGCUUUAAUGUAGAUGGAAUCUUUGCAGUAACAUAGAGAAAUGUGUUUACACAGUUAUGUUUAUUCACUCUCAUAUUCUGCCUUUGAAAGAAGGACAAAUGUAUUUGCCUAAACUGUAAAAUGCUUUUUGCUAAUGCCUCUGAAUUCUUUACACUUACUGUUUUCCCUUCUUCCUAUGUCUCUUUAUCCCUUUGGAAUAUGAUCCUUUUCUCUCUGUCAUUUAGAUUCCUAUUCUUGACUACUGCAAGAUUCUUUCCUGCUACAUAGGAACCUAUGUUUUUCAAGUUUUUACUUUUGACCAAAGCUGUGUUCUUUGGCUCAUUUUUUACCCUCUUAUAUAACCUUCACUGAACUGAAAAAAAUGAUACAAGAAUUGUCUUUUAAACUUGAAUGAAGCGAUAUCAAACACUGUGCUGCCUAACAUAGAGAAAUGAAUUGAUUUGGGGAAAUUAAAUAUUGAUAUUAUGCUCUCAGGGCCAGCACAAAACUAGGCAAUUUCACAAAUUUUGCAUGGACCUCUGAGAGUUAGUGUGAAAAUAUAUUAAAGUAAAGGAAGUAGGGCAAGUGGCUAAAAGAAAGGAGUCUGUAGCUGACAUGUCGGCAUUGUAAGUUUUCAGCCCUUCUGAGCAGAGCUCCACUGAAUGUAAAAUGGCAAAGAGGAGAGGGUCUUUUGUGUCUCUCCUCAGAUAGGGGCAUUGACAACCUGAUUCAUUUUCAGUACAUGCUCUUGUACCUGCAUGAAGCAACUGUAGAACUACAGAGGACUUUCACUUGAAUUUGGUCCCUAGCUUAAGCCAAACAAAAAGACUUCUCUUCACAAGCUGCAGAAAUAGUUAAAGGGUAAGAAAUUUCAUGUCGGUCAUCAGUAUCAGAAAGUACUGCUGUGAAUGGUUUUGAUUUAUUUUAGUCUAUCAAGCUGAAUGUUAAUUUUCAUGCUAGAAAGAUGUCUUUUCUUCCUUGAUUUAUUAAAUAAAAAUAGGUAAAAAAAAAAAAAAAAGAUUCUUUUAAAGAUACUCUUAAAUGUAUCUACUAUGAUUUAAAUUAAGCAUUAGCUUUUAUCUCUAAAAUGAAGAGCUCGGUUUACUUCUCUUAGUGACUUCGGUUUUAGAAGAAAAAAUUGUGUCCAUGUUCAGUUAUAUGUUCGAAAAACACUUAGUUACAGUCAGUUACAUAUACAUCUCCAAAUACCAGUAAAAUUUCCUCCACUUGUCUGUGUGUGUGUGUGUCUGUGUGUGCAGAUAAAGAUAGAUCGUCAAGCUCUUACCAUCUAGACACUCUUCUAUGUAUUAGGAAGGGAUACGUUGUGAAGUAGGGCAUAAGCUUAUAAUCUAAGGUCAUAGAUUUGGAACUGCCUUGGAAGUGGUGUGUGAUGCUCAGCAAGACUGCUUUUCUUAACCUUUAUUGUUUGUGAAAUUCAGAAAUGUGCUUCCUGCUCGUACUAGUAAAAAUAACUUGUCUUAUUUUCAAAAUGGAACACGUGUAAAAAACAGCAUGAAAUAUUUUUUUCUACUAAGGAAAGUUUGCCUUGCUUUCUUAAAAAUGAACCCACUAAUCCCUUCUAGAUAUUCAGCAUGAAUGUCAUUUAGCACAGUCUGAGAGCAGAUAAAUAAUCCCAUUCUUCUCUGUUCUCAUUUUCUUAUAUUUCACUGUAUGAAUAAAACCACUUCGUACACUGCUAUGAAAGAGACAAUAUUUAGAAGCCAUAGAGAAGACUAUCAAUUCAUGAAACUGAAUUCUGUAAAGAAAUUCACUCUGAAACAAAAGUAUAUUUUAAAUGUUUUUCAUUUUGAAUAAACUAUACUUCUGUAAAGAUGAAUUUGUUAAAUCAAAAAUUUCUCAAAAUUGUGAUAAAAGAGAAAAAACUUGAAAAAAAACCCAAAAAACUAAACCUCUUCAAUGUCCCCAUUCUCCUCCACAUAAAUCUUCUGUUUAAUAUCAAGUAUCUAAACAUAAACCUAAUUUAAACCCUUUUAAAAUAGUAUUUUCUACUGUGAUUUCUGUAUUAUUAUUAUGUGUUAUAUUUACCUGUAGAUCUUUAACUGAUCUAGAUGAUUUUGAACUUUCUACUGCUGACUAUAUUUAUUCUUUUACAUAUGAAAAUGACUUUACAUAGUACACCAUUUUAUGAAUAUGACUGUAUUUAUUUCUUCUAGUAGGCCGAUAGUCUUUAAGCCUUUUAUUGUUAUUUAUUUUAAAAUGGGUAUUCUGAUGAAUUAUGAGCAUGUGCUGAAACACUAUCUGUAGCUCAAGUUGGAAUACAGCUUUUUGUUCUGUGUACUUUACAGCACUUAAAUCUUUCUCCUUCCCGGACUCUCUGUAUUUUUUUUCAUUUUUAAAAGCCUUCUGUUUAUUGCUUCCACUAAUCUUUAGAUCUCUACUUAACCUCAUUGCCCACUGUUGCCCUUUUCUACAUUUAGAUUUAACCAGCAUGUCAAUUACAGUCUCUCCAGAAAAUUUCUGAAGCAUUUUCCAUUUUUAAUUUUAAAAACCCACCUUUUAAAAUGGUACUUGAACAAUAUCACAGCUUUCUUCAAGUACUGUGUUCAGAGAACUCUGUGUUCUUCCUGGUCCUUAGAAAACGUCAGUAGAAUUGGAGAAAAGAUGGAAUGUAAAGAUAUAUGUAUAUAUAUUUAUAUAAAAAAUAUAUAUGUAUAUAUAUUUAAAUAUCCAAAAAACCUCGUGAAAUUCAUUGAAUGUACUCGCUAUUGAUACAGUCUUGAGAGAAAGCCAAGUCACAAGUGUUAAAGGGUCUAAGUCUUACACACAAAAACUGAAGCACCUGUGAGAAGUCUGAGAGAAAUCAAGAAUGGUGUAACAGGUGUAUCUGAGAAGAUAAAAUAAAAUACAGAUGACUCCUUAAGUUCUAGAGCAGGGCUAAUAAUACCCAUCUUCCAAAGGUCACUCACUGCUGGAGUUACUGUUUUUUAUUGUUCUAAAUUAUCAUAUUCUUGGCAGUUUUUAAUGCUAUCAGCAAAUUCAUUUCUCACUUUAAUUUUAUUGUCUACAUUUAGAUAAGAUUUUCAUUUUUACCAUUUGAGAAGGUAGAAUGCAGAAACCCAUUGUAUUUUGCUGGAUUCUUUAAAGAUGAGUUCAUAAAUAUUGAAAUAACAUUCUAGACUGUCUUUUGUUUGAAGAUUUUCCAUACAUUUUUUUUCAGUUAUAAAAACAAGUUUUUCUGAAUUUGUCUUGACAAUUUUAUAAGAUUGUGUAUCAUCUAAUUGUGGCUCAGCCUUGUCCACCUUCAGUUCUAUAAGAGAGAAAUUGACAUCUUGGAGUUGUAGAGUUUUACUGCCCAUGUUCAAUUAUUUCUGUCACUUGGAUCACAAUGUGUAACUCUAAAUAAUGCCUUUCUUUCUUUAGUUAUCUUCUUUACCUUUCUAGCAGGUAUGACAAAACCACACCCUUUAUAAAUCAUAAAUAAUUUACUUCUUAUAGCAUGAAUUUUUCUUAGUUGCUACAAAUGAAAAAUAUUUUUGGUACAGGCAAUUAAUGUUCUGAUGGUGCCAGAAUAGGUGCUGGAAUUUAUUUGUUAAUGGCACUAAUUUUGUAUGUUAAAAAUAAUAUGGUUCUCAGCUCUCUGAAUGUGAGAACUUCUCAAAAGGUCAAAUCUGUGUGGUUCAACUAAAAAGAGAGGUGGAAAUUAACUUUGGAACAGGAGGACAUAGUUUAGUUCAUUGGGAGCCAAUUAGUUCUCUUCCAGAAUACAGAAAGAGUAUUGUAAGCAAAUGGUACUAUAGCUGCAUUUGAGUAAAGACACAUGGAGCUGCAUUACCCAACUCAAUUUUUAUGUUUUAAACAACCAUUUCCAUUACCCCUGUGAAACAUCACACAUGGAAGUCUCUUGAGGCUCUGUGUUUCAUUGGUGACUUUCUAGCCUACUUCCCUCAGCCUGCCUCAUUUUUUAAUUUGCACAGUACACUUGAGUUCUUUGGUUAGACAGUCAAAGAAAAGAUCUGUCAGAGGGAUUAGUAAGAAGACUUAAGGUUGUCUCAAGCAAGCUUAUGGUAAAAGGAUUUAAACAUACCAAGCAUUAGUGAAAGUGGUUGGCUAAAGAGGUGCAAACUUUCUACCUGUAGCCUGCUUUUCUGCAAGUCCCCAGUCAGUGAGCAGUUAUUCACCAGCCAUCUACAAAAUACACAGAGGUGUUCAUAUUCUUAAUGAUGUAGUCUAAAACAGUGCAAGGAGCAAAAACAAUAGAAGCAGAAAGAAAGAAUAUCUCAUACCGUCUUCCCCUACUACGGUACAUACUAUAUAAUAAAAAUGUGUCAUGGUUUUAUGAUUUCUGUUAUUGGUAUUCCACAUCAUAACAUCAUGUAGUGCACUUGGUGUUAAAGAGUUAAUGCUCCAGUUGCAUGGAUUGUCAGUAUUUUUGGGUACCUGGUUCUCACAAGAGAAGAACUACAUAAACCAGCAGACUUUUAUUGUUACAUUUCCUGUUUCCAUUUUCCAUUUAGAGGGAAAGAUAAAACUCCCUAGUCAUGAGAUUGGUUCCUUCUUUUACUGCUUGCCCCUGCAGUGUAUUCUUCCUAGCCAUCUCACCUUCAGUGCUAGAGUAAAGUCUUCAGUUUUGGACACUUUCUCAUUUAUUUGAUUUAUUAGCUUCAAUUCCAAUUAUAUUAGAUUACAUUGUGUUAUCUCACAUUCCACUGGCAUAUUUAGUGAAUUAGUUUUCUCCCUUAGCUUGUUGCCACUGUUUCGUUUUGUUUUUAGGCCCUCCUCUCUACCUUUUUCCCCUUUUUCUCUUCCCCCUAUCCUGGGGCAUGGGUCAGUGGGUCCCUCCACUGCACUAGUCAUGGAACUGGGCCAAACUGGCCCCAAACCCAUGCCAAAGUGUGAGAUUUGCAGCUUAGGGAGUCCUACUUCUGGGAAGCUUUAGUUCUGAAGUACCUUGAUCCUGCAGGUGCUUUUGCAUCCUGUCACCCACAGUCUUGCUUACUCUGAAUACAUGCUAUUGCAUACUCUAAGGCACUCUGAAGCUAAGCUUAUACAAUAUGUUUAUAAUCACAUAUUCAUUUCUAAAUGCAUUUUGAUUUCUACUCACUUCAUUGAUGUUUUACAAUAUUGAAUAAUUAUGACGAUUGGUUUUCAGUUAAAGAGCAAAAAUCUAGAGACUCAAAAUACUCAGGUGCAUGAUGAUUCUCCCAGAAAACAGCUACUCAUCUGUUUGGCUGGAGACUAUUCACAUUUUUACCAUGAAACACAUACUAUGAUAAAUAAAAUUGUAUCCUUGGAUAAUUUCUGUGUGUCAGCAAGCAGUUCUAGCCAGGGUGCCCAUGUAUGGUUUCUGACAUGGAAUGACAUGUGUUCACAACUGCCAGUCAUUCUAACUGAAAGAAGGGACAGUCUGCACACAGCAGGGUCAUGACAUCUAGCAGCCUGAGUAAACAAACUAGUGUUUCUCUCUCUCCUUCUUCCUCUUUCCAGACUGCUAAGGAGAAGUCAUAAACAUUUUACUUUUUUGGUUAUUUACUAGAACAAGAAGUCUCUGCUUUCCUUUUUUCAUCCAAGAUGGCACUAUGGAUAAUUUGUAAUUUAGAAGAUUUAGAACAUUUCACCUACUAAGUAUGAUAAAUACAAGCAACCAACAGAGGAAAAGUUACAUUUUAUUUCUUAUGGCAGAUUGUUGUAUUAUGCUUUGCUGAAAUAUAUACAAUUAAAUUGUCCAUCAACUAUUUUAUCAGCAACUCAUUAGAAGAAACUGUACAUUUAAAAUAGAGUAAUAAUGAACUUAGAUACAUUUUUUCAGCACAGCUGAGAGACUGCUUUCCAGUGCUGCCAUAUAAGGUAAUCAGGAAACACUGGACCCUGGUUCUGCUUAUUCAAGUGUAACCAAGAUUUGGAGUUUCCAAGUCCACUUUAAAAACCUUUAACUACUUAAAGCAUUGGAAUAAAGCUGACCACAAAGAUGGAAAAGAGAUGGAAGAGUGAGAAGAAGGAAAAAGAAGUUUUGAAGCAGAGACCAGAAAAAGAAAGACUGCGAAUGAUUUUGAAGCUCAUACAAGAUGUAGAAUGCCAAUCUCUUCUCUGUGUUCUAGAGGAGCUUUAAACAGCAAGCAAUAGAGUUGGCCAACUGAAGCACAUUAUUCAGCUGUGUUCUCUUUGGAGAUAACUGGUAAUUCUGAAAGGGAGAUGAGGGAGGAAGAAAGAAAGAAAGCUAUAACUUCUUGGUUUGUAAAUCUGCUGGUGAUAUAGUGAACUUAGAUUAAUUUCACAGCUCAAUCUUGAUAGUUAAAGUUGUGUUUUGUGUUUGAUCAUCCUAGGCCUGAGAACAUCCCUGUUAACCUUGUUGCAGCUCUCAACAAUGUAAAAAAAACUUCCUACCAAAUUAUAUUUUUAAUACACCUUAUGAUUUGGUAUAGAUAUGAAGGUAGAUGAAGAGGACAUAAAGAGAUACGUAGAAAAAGACCCAUAGUCCUUAAAAGGAGUUUUGCUCACUUCUGUAAAGGGACUGCAACAGUCCUUGUAGUAUUUUUUUUUGCAGGUGCUAUAAGAAUUACUCUGAAUGGCAGAAGAUGAACUUUGGCAGAAAAUACAGCGGAAACUUCAGCAGCUUAGGCAUGGUUAUAUACAGGUCUCAAUUGCUUUUAACUGAAGUCUUGUUUUGUUGUCUACAAAGGUUGUCUUGCUUUCAGAAAAGUAUGAGCUAUGUUUCAAUGAGACAGAAUUCUGAAAAAAAAAAAAAAAGUUUGAUGUUAUUUACAUUCACUGUAACUAAUCUGAAUCACUGAUUCUGGUUGGGACUGACAUCCCUGUCUAAGUCCCAAACCUAGUAUGAUUUUGUAUGUAGAGCCAGUUUAAAGUCACAGGCUCAGCUAGGUCUAGCUAGAACUGAUGAAGGAUAGAAGAUACAGAUUAAACAUUUUUCUCUAUUGUGAGACUAUAAAUAAAAAAUUGAAUGUGACCUUAUAACCAAAUGAUUUAUUCAUUGCUAUAUUAUUGAUAUCAAUGUGAAAUGUGUUGCUUUGCUGAGAAAGGGAAGGAUUUUGUGAGGAUACUGAAUGGUUGUUUUUUUUUUAGUGUCCUUAAAGUACAAACUGAUGGGGUCUGCUUCCUCUGUAGAAAUGGUAGUUUUCACUCAAAAGAAUAAAUGCUGUCACUUUAUGCUUCACAACUCUAGAAUGUUUCAGUUGUAGUGAAAACCCAGGAGUUUCUUGGCUUUUUGCUUUUAGUGGAGGACACAUUACUCUGUGAGAGACUUUACUUGGACAAAAUAACAUAGAAAAUGUUAACUUAGAAAAUAGACCAAAUAAUCUGCCACAGCUGUAGUUGUUUUUGUUUUGUUUUGUUUUUUACAAAUCAGCAAUGAACAAUUUGAUCUAAUUCAGAAAUAAUCAAAGGCUGCAUAAAUAUUUGGCUGCUACAAGUUUAAAAUAGUACCACGAUAAAAUUUCACGUACACAUGUCUUCUAAGAACAUAUUUCUUGUAAAUUUCACUGCACUGAAUAAUAACUUGAAUUAUUUUUAUCAGUACAAAAGUAAGUCUCCCUACACUACUCUAUUUUUUAUUAACAAUCACUUUUUAAUCUGUAUAUACUAUAUACAGCUAGUAGCUCUUUCAUUUUUGUACUUUCAAUCUGCUUCACAGGGUAUUAAUUAUGCACAAGUUGGCUACAUCUCUUCUGUCAUACCGAACAGCCACAUCUGCAUUUAAUCAUUCAUUAUAUGCUGUAAUCUACCACCUAACUUCCAGUCACUUUUACUAUCUAAAAGCAAGUAGGAGGUACUUAAGAAUCUAUCCCUGAAUAUCUAAUUGCAUACUUAACUGAUUAGUUUUAUAUGACAGUCUCUUAUAAACAUGCUAAUAAGUUGAAGACUCUUAAUUUGUAUCUACAUGCUACUGAUUUCUGUAUGAUUAUACAUAAUGAACUCAUCAUGAUCACACUUAGUGCUGCUCUUCUGAGAAUCAUGAAAAUAAAUGCAGAGUUUGGAGAGAAGGAUGUAGACAAAGGCAGAAAUGAUCAGUAAUAUGUUGCUUUGUAAGAGAUUUGAUGAGAAACUUCAUUCAGGUUUGCUUUGAGAAAUGGCUUAUUCCAAAUAGUUCAAGAGGAAAUAAAAGGACCAUGAAAACCUGGACAAUGAGGUAAACAAAAGUGAAAAGAAUUCACACAGAUGCUGUUUUACACCUAGCUCAACUAAUAACACCCAUCAUGCUCAGAGAUACAGGAAAAAGUGAAUCCAUGCCAAAUAAACCACCUCAGGUGUCAGUACUGGUGACUUCUAGUUACUUCCAAGCAUCUCAGUUAUUCACAGAACAGAGGCAAUGGGAGAGGUCCAAAGGAACUCUGUAUUGCCAUGUCACUGCUUUUCUGAGUAUUUCAAUACCUCCAUUAAAGUAAUGCCAUUACUAUGACCAAUUCACAAGCUUGAUUGAAAUUUCUUUAACAAUGUACAAUGUUGCAGACAGGAUGAGGUUAUCCAUUCCACCUCUGCUUUUUCUAGGGCAAUAGCUGAGAAAGGGAGUUUUAAAGGUAAACAGAAAUCUGAGGUAAUUCCUAAAGAAAAUGAACACUUACUAACUUUAAAGUAGUUAUUGUUAUACAAAGUGAGUUUUUGGGGUUAGCACAAAAGAAGAACAGCAUUUAAGGUCAAUAAAGGUGCAAUACUUUCCAUUGUUCACUGCAUUUCUACAUAAGUCUUAGAAACAGCACAAUCUGUAGCUCUCUUAUACAUAUAGGUAGCCUCUGGAGCUAUAUCACGGUUGUCCGUGAUUUUUCACUUGUUAUUAAAGGGCAUGAAUUCUUCCAAAGGGCAAGGCUAGUGCAUUUACUCAGACACCUACGCAAAUUGUCCCAGGAUCCUAAUUUGAUGUACCUCAGUGGAAAGUGAUUAGGGUCAGAGGACUUAAGCUGUAUUCUAACACAUAUUAGAUUUAAAUAAUCCUGUCUCAUCUCUUCUGGCUCCUAACCAGUUUAUUUUAACACUAAGUGAGUUUGUUUGUAAAGUCUAAAUGAAUUUUAACAGCUUCUAGUGACAUUUUACUAGAAAACAGAAAAACUGUAGCAAUUCAGGUUCCAAAGUGUAUCAGCGUUCAAUUUUUGAGGGUUUCUCAGUAGACUGAACUUUCCAGAGAUCCUUAUCAUUCAUAUAAAAUAGAUUGGGAUAAUAUCCUCAGAGUUAAUCUAUUUAAAAUGAAUAGUGAUCUUAGAUCCUUUCGGCAUUGGAUUUGUUAAGAAGAAAGUGAUAUUACUGCAGAGUUAGUCCCACUUCCAAGGCCAUGCAAUGGCUUUUCUCAAGCAAUUAAGAAGCUGUACAACUUCUACCUUUAAGAUAACUGUGGAAGAUAUAAUCUUUUAAGAUUAGACUACUCUACUGAUAGAAUUUAUCUUCUUUUCUCUCAUUAAAUAUUUUAAGAUUCUAAUUAACAGACCCUAUUCAAGAAUUUCUGAGAUGAAUGAAGGCAUAUUCAUAUUUUCUGAGAGCACUUUAUUCAGUCUUAUUUUAAAAGCCUAAAUUACAUAUAAGGUAUAUAUGUGUUUUUAAAUACAUUAGUCAGAAGGAAAUGAGUAAUAAUGCUGCACUGUAUUGUGCUGAUCUGUCCAGGCAUAGAAGAGGAUAAGUUGCUAUAUUUAUU
This 32759-nucleotide long non-coding RNA is filed under the name Gallus gallus (chicken). The record is from RNAcentral. Lineage: Eukaryota; Metazoa; Chordata; Aves; Galliformes; Phasianidae.